Molecule: transfer RNA, 71 nt
Filed under: Heterocephalus glaber (naked mole-rat)
Lineage: Eukaryota; Metazoa; Chordata; Mammalia; Rodentia; Bathyergidae
Rfam family: tRNA
About the family: Transfer RNA (tRNA) molecules are approximately 80 nucleotides in length.
Source: Rfam by way of RNAcentral
AGGAGUGUAGCCCAGUGGUGGAGCCCUUGCCUAGCAUGCAUGAAGCCCUGGGUUCAAUCCUCAGCACCUUA